RNAcentral lists this ribosomal RNA (465 nucleotides) under Clostridiales bacterium oral taxon C20. Its description in RNAcentral is "bacterial SSU rRNA". It matches the Rfam family "Bacterial small subunit ribosomal RNA", at positions 28 to 497 of the family's 1533-position model. The record is from RNAcentral. Lineage: Bacteria; Bacillati; Bacillota; Clostridia; Eubacteriales.
GAUGAACGCUGGCGGCGUGCUUAACACAUGCAAGUCGAACGGAGCUUUGAGGAAGUGCUUGCACAGAAUUAAAGCUUAGUGGCGGACGGGUGAGUAACGCGUGAGGAACCUGCCUUUCACAGUGGAAUAACAACGGGAAACCGUUGCUAAUGGCGCAUGACAUCGCAUUGAGGCAUCUCAGAGCGAUUAAAGGAGAAAUCCGGUGAAAGAUGGACUCGCGUCCGAUUAGCUAGUUGGUGAGGUAACGGCUCACCAAGGCGACGAUCGGUAGCCGAACUGAGAGGUUGAUCGGCCACAUUGGGACUGAGACACGGCCCAGACUCCUACGGGAGGCAGCAGUGGGGAAUAUUGGGCAAUGGGCGAAAGCCUGACCCAGCAACGCCGCGUGAAGUAUGAAGGCCUUCGGGUUGUAAACUUCUUUGAUCAGGGAAGAAACAAAUGACGUACCUAAAAACAAGCCACGCA